RNAcentral lists this ribosomal RNA (497 nucleotides) under uncultured bacterium. RNAcentral describes it as "partial 16S ribosomal RNA". It matches the Rfam family "Bacterial small subunit ribosomal RNA", at positions 28 to 507 of the family's 1533-position model. The record is from RNAcentral.
GAUGAACGCUGGCGGCGUGCCUAAUACAUGCAAGUCGAGCGAACAGACGAGGAGCUUGCUCCUUCGACGUUAGCGGCGGACGGGUGAGUAACACGUAGGUAACCUACCUAUAAGACUGGGAUAACUUCGGGAAACCGGAGCUAAUACCGGAUAAUAUUUCGAACCGCAUGGUUCGAUAGUGAAAGAUGGCUUUGCUAUCACUUAUAGAUGGACCUGCGCCGUAUUAGCUAGUUGGUAAGGUAACGGCUUACCAAGGCAACGAUACGUAGCCGACCUGAGAGGGUGAUCGGCCACACUGGAACUGAGACACGGUCCAGACUCCUACGGGAGGCAGCAGUAGGGAAUCUUCCGCAAUGGGCGAAAGCCUGACGGAGCAACGCCGCGUGAGUGAUGAAGGUCUUCCGAUCGUAAAACUCUGUUAUUAGGGAAGAACAAACGUGUAAGUAACUGUGCACGUCUUGACGGUACCUAAUCAGAAAGCCACGGCUAACUACGUG